GCCUGGGUGGCUCAAUUGGUUGAGCGUCCGACUUCGGCUCAGGUCACGAUCUCGCGGUCCGUGAGUUCGAGCCCCACGUCGGGCU
Felis catus (domestic cat) is the source of this 85-nucleotide non-coding RNA. NCBI's taxonomy places the organism in Eukaryota, Metazoa, Chordata, Mammalia, Carnivora, Felidae. The record is from Rfam.